This 472-nucleotide ribosomal RNA is filed under the name uncultured bacterium. RNAcentral's name for it is "bacterial SSU rRNA". It matches the Rfam family "Bacterial small subunit ribosomal RNA", at positions 328 to 793 of the family's 1533-position model. The record is from RNAcentral.
GCAGAGCACUCCUACGGGAGGCAGCAGUGGGGAAUAUUGGACAAUGGGGGAAACCCUGAUCCAGCCAUGCCGCGUGUGUGAAGAAGGCCUUCGGGUUGUAAAGCACUUUCAGUGGGGAGGAAAGGUUGAUGGUUAAUACCUAUCAGCUGUGACGUUACCCACAGAAGAAGCACCGGCUAACUCCGUGCCAGCAGCCGCGGUAAUACGGAGGGUGCAAGCGUUAAUCGGAAUUACUGGGCGUAAAGCGUGCGCAGGCGGUCUGUUAAGCGAGAUGUGAAAGCCCCGGGCUCAACCUGGGAACUGCAUUUCGAACUGGCAGACUAGAGUCUUGUAGAGGGGGUAGAAUUCCAGGUGUAGCGGUGAAAUGCGUAGAGAUCUGGAGGAAUACCGGUGGCGAAGGCGGCCCCCUGGACAAAGACUGACGCUCAGGCACGAAAGCGUGGGGAGCAAACAGGAUUAGAUAACCUGGUAG